CAGGAUCAUUGUUUUAGUAAUUUCGCAUCCUUAAGGCCGAAGGUGACAGAGCAAGACCCUGUUUCUAAAUAUAUAUAUUAUAUAUUAUAUAUAUAAAAUAUAUAUAAUAUAUAAUAUAUAUAAAAUAUAUAAUAUAUAAUAUAUUAUAUAUAAUAUAUAUAAAAUAUAUAAUAUAUAUAAAAUAUAUAUAAUAUAUAUAUAAUAUAUAUAUUAUAUAUAAAAUAUAUAUUAUAUAUAAAAUACAAAUAUAUAUAAAAAUAUAUAAUAUAUAAAAUAAAAAAUAAAUAUAUAAAAAAAUAUAUAAUAUAUAAAAUAUACAAUAUAACAUAUAAAAUAUAUAUUAUAUAUAACAUAUAAAAUAUAUAUUAUAUAUAACAUAUAAAAUAUAUAAUAUAUAACAUAUAAAAU
Molecule: long non-coding RNA, 408 nt
Filed under: Pan troglodytes (chimpanzee)
Lineage: Eukaryota; Metazoa; Chordata; Mammalia; Primates; Hominidae
Description: long non-coding RNA NONPTRT001628
Source: RNAcentral